RNAcentral lists this ribosomal RNA (445 nucleotides) under uncultured bacterium. RNAcentral describes it as "bacterial SSU rRNA". It matches the Rfam family "Bacterial small subunit ribosomal RNA", at positions 330 to 792 of the family's 1533-position model. The record is from RNAcentral.
GCCAGACUCCUACGGGAGGCAGCAGUGGGGAAUAUUGCACAAUGGGGGAAACCCUGAUGCAGCGACGCCGCGUGAGUGAAGAAGUAUUUCGGUAUGUAAAGCUCUAUCAGCAGGGAAGAAAAUGACGGUACCUGAUUAAGAAGCCCCGGCUAACUACGUGCCAGCGGCCGCGGUAAUACGUAGGGGGCAAGCGUUAUCCGGAUUUACUGGGUGUAAAGGGAGCGUAGACGGCAGCGCAAGUCUGAAGUGAAAUGCCGGGGCUUAACCCCGGAACUGCUUUGGAAACUGUGCGGCUGGAGUGCAGGAGGGGUAAGCGGAAUUCCUAGUGUAGCGGUGAAAUGCGUAGAUAUUAGGAGGAACACCGGUGGCGAAGGCGGCUUACUGGACUGUAACUGACGUUGAGGCUCGAAGGCCAGGGGAGCGAAAGGGAUUAGAUACCCCGGUA